Molecule: ribosomal RNA, 738 nt
Filed under: uncultured bacterium
Lineage: Bacteria
Description: bacterial SSU rRNA
Rfam family: Bacterial small subunit ribosomal RNA
Source: RNAcentral
CCCUUAGUUUGAUCCUGGCUCAGGAUGAACGCUGGCGGCGUGCCUAAUACAUGCAAGUCGAGCGGAAAGGCUCCUCCAGUUUAUUUAAACGGUGAGACAGGUCGCGUAAAUUUCAAAGAAAUUUACGCAUCUAAAACGAAGUGAUGAACUUCAGCUUACCACCUAAUCUACAAAAGUAGAGAGGCAGUUUAAAUAAAGUGGUGGAGUACUCGAGCGGCGGACGGCUGAGUAACGCGUAGGAACAUACCCCAAACUGAGGGAUAACUGCUCGAAAGAGUAGCUAAUACCGCAUGUGGUCUUCGGAUUAAAGCUUCGGCGGUUUGGGAAUGGCCUGCGUAUGAUUAGAUUGUUGGUGAGGUAACGGCUCACCAAGUCGACGAUCAUUAGCUGGUCUGAGAGGAUGAUCAGCCAGACUGGGACUGAGAACGGCCCAGACUCCUACGGGAGGCAGCAGUAGGGAAUUUUCCACAAUGGACGAAAGUCUGAUGGAGCAACGCCGCGUGCAGGAUGAAUGCCCUUGGGUUGUAAACUGCUUUUAUAAGUGACGAAUAUGACGGUAACUUAUGAAUAAGGACCGGCUAACUCCGUGCCAGCAGCCGCGGUCAUACGGAGGGUCCAAGCGUUAUCCGGAAUUACUGGGCGUAAAGAGUUGCGUAGGUGGCAUUGUAAGUAGAUAGUGAAAGCGUUCGGCUCAACCGAAUAUACAUUAUCUAAACUGCAAAGCUAGAGGGCGAGAGA